GGAGGAGUGGCCGAGUGGUUUAAGGCACCGGUUUUGAAAACCGGCGUAUCCGCAAGGGUACCGUGGGUUCGAAUCCCUCCUCCUCCGCCA
Molecule: transfer RNA, 90 nt
Filed under: Pseudomonadota bacterium
Lineage: Bacteria; Pseudomonadati; Pseudomonadota
Also listed under: 1 other name
Description: tRNA-Ser
Rfam family: tRNA
About the family: Transfer RNA (tRNA) molecules are approximately 80 nucleotides in length.
Source: RNAcentral